CAGCCGCCGCGUAAAACGUAGGGUGCGAGCGUUAAUCGGAAUUACUGGGCGUAAAGCGUGCGUAGGCGGUUUGUUAAGUCUGUUGUGAAAUCCCCGGGCUCAACCUGGGAAUGGCAAUGGAUACUGGCAAGCUAGAGUGUGUCAGAGGAUGGUGGAAUUCCCGGUGUAGCGGUGAAAUGCGUAGAGAUCGGGAGGAACAUCAGUGGCGAAGGCGGCCAUCUGGGACAACACUGACGCUGAGGCACGAAAGCGUGGGGAGCAAACAGGAUUAGAUACCCCUGUAGUCCCUGUCUCUUAUACC
Molecule: ribosomal RNA, 301 nt
Filed under: uncultured bacterium
Lineage: Bacteria
Description: partial 16S ribosomal RNA
Rfam family: Bacterial small subunit ribosomal RNA
Source: RNAcentral